CUCAUUACACAGAUAUAAUCUACUUGUUCUAUGACUUAAAUGGAUAACUGCGGUAAUUCUGGAGCCAAUACAUGCGAACAGCUGCGGCCUUCGGGUUGCAGUGCUAUUAUUGGAGCAAAACUAUUCGUUAGUCCUUUUGCUAACUCUGGAUAAUACUGCGUAUCGCACGAUCUUGUGUCGGCGAAGUUUCAUUCGAGUAUCUGCCCUAUCAACUGGUUGGCAGUGUAUUGGACUGCCAUGGUUCUAACGGGUAACGGAGAAUCAGGGUUUGACUCCGGAGAAUCCGCCUUAAAAAACGGCGAAU
RNAcentral lists this ribosomal RNA (304 nucleotides) under Aphelenchoides besseyi. RNAcentral's name for it is "SSU rRNA". It matches the Rfam family "Eukaryotic small subunit ribosomal RNA", at positions 97 to 411 of the family's 1831-position model. The record is from RNAcentral. Lineage: Eukaryota; Metazoa; Nematoda; Chromadorea; Rhabditida; Aphelenchoididae.